CACCGCGGUUAUACGAGCGACCCAAGUUGACAAACCCCGGCGUAAAGCGUGGUUAGGGAAACCCAAAAACUAAAGCCGAAUGCCUUCAAGGCAGUUAUACGCAAUCCGAAAAUACGAAGCCCCACCACGAAAGUGGCUUUACCACCCCUGACUCCACGAAAGCUAUGACA
This 170-nucleotide ribosomal RNA is filed under the name Nealotus tripes (black snake mackerel). RNAcentral describes it as "partial 12S rRNA". The record is from RNAcentral. Lineage: Eukaryota; Metazoa; Chordata; Actinopteri; Scombriformes; Gempylidae.